Molecule: ribosomal RNA, 253 nt
Filed under: uncultured bacterium
Lineage: Bacteria
Description: partial 16S ribosomal RNA
Rfam family: Bacterial small subunit ribosomal RNA
Source: RNAcentral
GACGAAGGAUGCAAGCGUUAUCCGGAUUCAUUGGGUUUAAAGGGUGCGUAGGCGGCCUGCUAAGUCAGUGGUGAAAUCUUCUCGCUUAACGAGAAAACUGCCAUUGAUACUGGUGGGCUUGAGUACAGAUGCUGUGGGCGGAAUAUGACAUGUAGUGGUGAAAUACAUAGAGAUGUCAUAGAACACCGAUUGCGAAGGCAGCUCACAAAACUGUAACUGACGCUGAGGCACGAAAGUGCGGGGAUCAAACAGG